This 253-nucleotide ribosomal RNA is filed under the name uncultured bacterium. RNAcentral's name for it is "partial 16S ribosomal RNA". It matches the Rfam family "Archaeal small subunit ribosomal RNA", at positions 474 to 727 of the family's 1478-position model. The record is from RNAcentral.
UACCAGCACCCCGAGUGGUCGGGACGAUUAUUGGGCCUAAAGCAUCCGUAGCCGGCCUUACAAGUCCUCCGUUAAAUCCAGCUGCUUAACAGAUGGGCUGCGGAGGAUACUAUAAGACUAGGAGGCAGGAGAGGCAAGCGGUACUCAGUGGGUAGGGGUAAAAUCCGUUGAUCCAUUGAAGACCACCAGUGGCGAAGGCGGCUCACUGGCCCGUAACUGACGCUGAGGCACGAAAGCGUGGGGAGCAAACAGG